UACGUAGGGUGCAAGCGUUAAUCGGAAUUACUGGGCGUAAAGCGUGCGCAGGCGGUUUUGUAAGACCGAUGUGAAAUCCCCGGGCUCAACCUGGGAACUGCAUUGGUGACUGCAAGGCUUGAGUGUGUCAGAGGGAGGUGGAAUUCCGCGUGUAGCAGUGAAAUGCGUAGAGAUGUGGAGGAACACCGAUGGCGAAGGCAGCCCCCUGGGCUAACACUGACGCUCAUGCACGAAAGCGUGGGGAGCAAACAGG
Molecule: ribosomal RNA, 253 nt
Filed under: uncultured bacterium
Lineage: Bacteria
Description: partial 16S ribosomal RNA
Rfam family: Bacterial small subunit ribosomal RNA
Source: RNAcentral